Molecule: long non-coding RNA, 3504 nt
Filed under: Homo sapiens (human)
Lineage: Eukaryota; Metazoa; Chordata; Mammalia; Primates; Hominidae
Description: HSALNT0392290
Source: RNAcentral
GCAGUUCUUGGAUGUGCAGAGAGCAACACACACGUUUAAUCACCAAGAAACCCCGUGGGUCUAAUAACAGUAGAUUGAAGGGUGCAGGCCAGGGUGAGGGCAGGUGGGUCUAAUGACAGUAGAUUGAACUGCCAGGGUGGGGGCAGGUGAAGCUGAUCUGCAGACAGACAUGCAGGGAGGGAUCCUGCGUCCUCUCCCAGAGCCCUGCCCCGCGGCCCGGCAUGGGAGGGCUUCCACCACCACGGAUGCUCCAUGCCCAACACAUGUCUGCAUGACCAUCCCUCACUGCCAGGUUGUCACACCCAUGUGGAGGCCAGUAACCCACCCGCCCUCAGCCCUAGGGGUGAGUCAGUGACCCCCCAGCAUCCAGCAGCCCACCUGACACGGAUGCUCACACAGCCGCCCUGAGCGUCGCCCGGCACACAGCACUCUGACACGGAUGCCCACACGGCCGCCCUGAGCGUUGCCCGGCACACAGCACUCUGACACGGAUGCCCACACGGCCGCCCUGAGAGUCGCCCGGCACACAGCACUCUGACACGGAUGCCCGCACGGCUGCCCUGACUGUCGCCCGGCACACAGCACUCUGACACGGAUGCCCGCACGGCUGCCCUGAGAGUCGCCCGGCACACAGAACGCUGACACGGAUGCCCACACGGCCGCCCUGAGAGUCGCCCGGCACACAGCACUCUGACACGGAUGCCCAGACGGCCGCCCUGAGCGUCGCCCGGCACACAGCACUCUGACACAGAUGCCCGCACAGCCGCCCUGAGCAUCGCCCGGCACACAGCACUCUGACACGGAUGCCCGCACGGCUGCCCUGACUGUCGCCCGGCACACAGCACUCUGACAUGGAUGCCUGCACGGCCGCCCUGAGCGUCGCCCGGCACACAGCACUCUGACAUGGAUGCCCGCACGGCCGCCCUGAGCUCCGCCCGGCACACAGCACUCUGACACGGAUGCCCGCACGGUUGCCCUGAGCGUCGCCCGGCACACAGCACUCUGACACGGAUGCCCGCACAGCCGCCCUGAGCAUCGCCCGGCACACAGCACUCUGACAUGGAUGCCCGCAGGGCCGCCCUGAGCUUCGUCCGGCACACAGCACUCUGACACGGAUGCCCGCACAGCCGCCCUGAGCAUCGCCCGGCACACAGCACUCUGACACGGAUGCCCGCAGGGCCGCCCUGAGCUUCGUCCGGCACACAGCACUCUGACACGGAUGCCCGCAGGGCCGCCCUGAGCGUCGCCCGGCACACAGCACUCUGACACGGAUGCCCGCACGGUUGCCCUGAGCGUCGCCCGGCACACAGCACUCUGACACGGAUGCCCGCACGGCUGCCCUGACUGUCGCCCGGCACACAGCACUCUGACACGGAUGCCUGCACGGUUGCCCUGAGCGUCGCCCGGCACACAGCACUCUGACAUGGAUGCCCGCACGGCCGCCCUGAGCAUCGCCUGGCACACAGAACGCUAACACGGAUGCCCAGACGGCCGCCCUGAGCGUCGCCCGGCACACAGCACUCUGACACAGAUGCCCGCACAGCCGCCCUGAGCGUCGCCCGGCACACAGCACUCUGACACGGAUGCCCGCAGGGCCGCCCUGAGCUUCGUCCGGCACACAGCACUCUGACACAGAUGCCCGCAGGGCCGCCCUGAGCUCCGCCCGGCACACAGCACUCUGACAUGGAUGCCCGCACGGCCGCCCUGAGCGUCGCCCGGCACACAGCACUCUGACACGGAUGCCCGCACGGCUGCCCUGACUGUCGCCCGGCACACAGCACUCUGACAUGGAUGCCCGCACGGCCGCCCUGAGCAUCGCCCGGCACACAGCACUCUGACAUGGAUGCCCGCAGGGCCGCCCUGAGCUCCGCCCGGCACACAGCACUCUGACAUGGAUGCCCGCACGGCCGCCCUGAGCAUCGCCCGGCACACAGCACUCUGACACGGAUGCCCGCAGGGCCGCCCUGAGCGUCGCCCGGCACACAGCACUCUGACACGGAUGCCCAGACGACCACCCUGAGCGUCACCCGGCACCCAGCACACAGCACUCUGCGGCGUUUCUUGUCUGCUGGUUGCUGUUGUCUCUGCCCAGAUAGAACACGCAUCCCUGGAGCACUGGGACGUUGCCUGUCUGCUCACUGGCAGCUCAUGCAGCCCCCAGCAGGUGCCCAAUGCUCUCGAGUGAGUGACAGGAAGCUGGGCACUGGCCUUCUGUCUUCAGGAGAGAUGCUUCUGAAUUGCUGCUCCAUCUUUCUAUGUUGGCUCAGACACACUUGCUGAAGUGUGUCUGAGUGAAGUGAAGGAAAAUGACAAACAGAGCUCCCGCCACUGCCCAGGACUUGUCCCCGUGCCCCAGGGUGUAUUCUGAGCUCCAGCCUCUCAGGCUCACGUGUUGGUUGACACAAGUGGACAUGGUCACCCCAGGCAGCCAGCGGCCUGGGGCUCCACGGAAGGCCCAUGAAGCNCAGGUCAGAAGAGAACGGAGUCUUAAGUCACCUCAGAGGAGGCAGGAGAAGGUGAUUUGCAGAAUGAGCUCCAUGUAGUUCCACAGGGAUGAGGCAUCAAAGGUCUCCUAAUCCCCAGACAAAUUUCUCCCAUUUGUCUGGCUCUGACUCAGAUGUCCUUAGGGGACAGGGCACCCAGCAAGCAUCGUUCACCAGGAAAAGCGCAUCCUUGUUCAUUUCAUGUGUAGCUGCAGCUGCCCUCCAAUUCCCCCUUUAAUUCCCUGACGCUUUAAUCAGGCAAGUCACAGAGUGGGACNUGGGGGUGCAGGAUGGGGGCUGGGAGUGAAUGGGCUCCAGGGAGCUUCCUGCCUGCGGCCAGAGCCACACCGGGCAGAUCCCUCCCCUGCCCCAGACAAACUGCAUCGCAGACGAGACCUUCGAGUUCUUACAGUUUUAGGGUUCCUUUAUCUUGAAGGAAUUUGUUGUCACUCUGUGCCAUGCGGCAUGGUGCUUUUAAUAUGACUGGGAUGGAACUCCCUAACGAGAUACAGCUAAGACAAACCGCUGUCUUACUCACAAAGCCGUUGCAAUACAGCUUGUGCCCGAGCCUCCAUCACGGCUACCUGGCAUCUGCGCGUGACGCUGCAGCUUUGGAGCAACCCACAGGCGUGGAGAGGAGCCACGCGUGGAGAUCCANGGCAUGGUGGGCUGUGCUUCUUCCGAGCCCACGGCUCUGCGGCCCACAGACUUCAGCUCAUGCACCUCCUGGGUCUGCAUGUGCAGUUGGUGAGCGUGGAUGUGGGGCCCUGAGGAGUGGGUUGAGGAGGAUGCCCCAUUAACAAGUCGAUUUACUCUCAAUGACCCCAAAUGGGUCCCGACCUUCAGUCCCCGGAGGCCCUUCCACAGCCCCUGGCCAAAGACCAUGGGCAAACUUCAGACACCAGGGUAGAUGGAUUUGCCAGGCUGCACCGAGGGGAGCUGGGUGUCACGCACACAGUGCCAAGUCCAGCAGAGGGCAUGGGCACGUUGCCUGUCCCCCACGUGUGGCUUCAGCACAGUU